Long non-coding RNA from Prosopis cineraria, 231 nucleotides. RefSeq lists it as uncharacterized. The record is from RefSeq and is a predicted model, not a curated record. The transcript has 2 exons. Lineage: Eukaryota; Viridiplantae; Streptophyta; Magnoliopsida; Fabales; Fabaceae.
AAAAGGAGUUGUGAAGGGGAACUUGUUAUUCAAGACACAAGGAGCGAGUCUGGCCGAGAAAGCACCAGAGGUGUAACUAUGGUGUAUGAGACACCAUCUUUUACGUUGCCUCUUAUUUUGGAUUAUACAAUGUAUCUUGUGCCAACUUAGGACAUAUCUUCUUUGUGAAGCAUGUAAACUCUAAUCCUUUUUAUUAAAAGUAUUUAUAUGACCAAGAGGAUUAUAUCUGUC